GACGAACGCUGGCGACGCGCUUAACACAUGCAAGUCGAGCGGAAAGGCCUGCCUUCCCUUGUGGAUUGCGGGUACUCGAGUGGCGAACGGGUGAGUAACACGUGAGUGAUCUGCCCCCAACUUGGGUAUAAGCCUGGGAAACUGGGUCUAAUUCCCGAUAGGACUGCAGGGUGGUGCCUGUGGUGGAAAACGAUUUUCUAGUGGUUGGGGAUGAGCUCGCGGCCUAUCAGCUUGUUGGUGGGGUAAUGGCCUACCAAGGCGGCGACGGGUAGCCGGCCUGAGAGGGUGGACGGCCCCAUUGGGACUGAGAUACGGCCCAGACUCCUACGGGAGGCAGCAGUGGGGAAUAUUGCACAAUGGGCGGAAGCCUGAUGCAGCGACGCCGCGUGGGGGAUGACGGCCUUCGGGUUGUAAACUCCUUUCGACCGCGAGGAAGCCACCUGGUUGGAAGGGUGGUGACGGUAGUGGUAGAAGAAGCACCGGCUAACUACGUG
This 494-nucleotide ribosomal RNA is filed under the name uncultured bacterium. RNAcentral describes it as "partial 16S ribosomal RNA". It matches the Rfam family "Bacterial small subunit ribosomal RNA", at positions 28 to 507 of the family's 1533-position model. The record is from RNAcentral.